Molecule: small RNA, 540 nt
Filed under: Pan troglodytes (chimpanzee)
Lineage: Eukaryota; Metazoa; Chordata; Mammalia; Primates; Hominidae
Description: retained intron
Source: RNAcentral
AGUUCUGCGUUCGAGUCUGCUCUGGCUGUGCUGUGUUGGCUGUGUUGGGACACUAUGUUCCAGGGAUUAUGAUUUCCUACAUUGUCUUGUUGAGUAUCCUGCUGUGGCCCCUGGUGGUUUAUCAUGAGCUGAUCCAGAGGAUGUACACUCGCCUGGAGCCCCUGCUCAUGCAGCUGGACUACAGCAUGAAGGCAGAAGCCAAUGCCCUGCAUCACAAACACGACAAGAGGAGUAAGGGGCUGCCCUAAUCCAGGAGGGUGAAAGAGCGGGAGGGCCUUGGCUUGGGGUUCAUGAGAUGCCCUAGAAUUGAGAUCUUCAGUUCUUUAACUGUGUUUGUCUCCCCUCCCAUCAUUCAUGCUUGGUCAUUGCUCUACUACUCUUGCUUUUCUAGAGCGUCAGGGGAAGAAUGCACCCCCAGGAGGUGAUGAGCCACUGGCAGAGACAGAGAGUGAAAGCGAGGCAGAGCUGGCUGGCUUCUCCCCAGUGGUGGAUGUGAAGAAAACAGCAUUGGCCUUGGCCAUUACAGACUCAGAGCUGUCA